Molecule: long non-coding RNA, 2035 nt
Organism: Oncorhynchus tshawytscha (Chinook salmon)
Lineage: Eukaryota; Metazoa; Chordata; Actinopteri; Salmoniformes; Salmonidae
Exons: 4
Source: RefSeq, a predicted model, not a curated record
CAAUGGCUGACAAAUAACGUGCCACAGAAUUCUGAGGCAGCCCGCAAGGUGUGCUGCAGUAUGACGCAACUUUUACAGGAAGAACCACUUUAUAAACAAAAUACCAAGUUGAAGCUGACUGUUAGCUAGCUGACGUUAGAUGGCUGGCUCACAUUAUGUUUAUGAUCUGUGUAGUAAUGUUCUCAGAAUGACAUUUCGUAUUUUUAUUUAUAGCCAGCUAACAUUGAACCUAUUUGGUUAACUUUAGCUAGCUGUGAUAAAUCGGUUUGUCUAAACAAAAGACUCCACUUCGCCAGAUGAUUACAUGACCCAUCAAGUUAGCUAGGUGUGUCUGACGGUAAUUACGGCUAUCUAUUGUAUAAUAAUGCCAAAAUCUGGAAUUUGUCUUUCAGCAUCAGUAGAACACUCUCCUCCACCAGUCAUACAAGGAGAAUGGUCUAAUGCCUCCCAUCAAAAAGAGAGCUGGCCCAAGCAAGCACAGGUUACACCUGAAUCAUGAGGACUUGCAAGUGGUGAACUUCAACAACUACGCAGACGAUAAUGCAAUCGUGUUACCAGGACGCCACCCAGGACACAAACACUUUGGUGGAAAGCUGCUGCCAUCCCAUGUGACAAAAGCAGCAGUGUGGCGUCUCUACAAGGAAUCGAUGACAACACUUGAGGUACGUGUAGUCAUACUUCCAGUUUCCAAGAUGAUGUUCUUUCUGUAUGCAGUGCUGCUGCUCUGCACAUUUGUAGGUGCACUAUCCUUCUGACCCUAUGCCAGGUCCCAUUUACUUUUUAACUCCUCGCAAAUCUGGCUUGUUUGGUGUCUGCUGUGAAGGAAUACCACAACAAGUCAACUACUUGAUUGAUGAAGGCAUGUCAUCCAGCAAAGGCAGCAGCACAGUCAACUACAUGCACCAUUUCUUCACCAACUAGUUGGAGAAAAUCAUGUGUUGACCUGAAUUAUGAUAACUGCAGUGGCCAAAACAAGAAGUUUGUGCUCUGUUAUUGUGCCUGGCGGACCAUGCACAAGCUCCACCACAGUCUGGACCUUCACUUCCUGAUCACAGACCACACCAAGUUUGACUGACUGGUGCUUUGGCCUCAUCAAGCAGCUCUUCAGAAAGACCAGAGUGAACACUGUCUGAGAUUGCUGCUGUUGUGAAGGACAGCACUGUGACAGGGGUCAACAUCCCACAGCUGGUUGGACUGGAGGAUGGUACGGUGCUGGUGGAAAGCUAUGGCUGGCAACAACACCUGACUACAUACUUCAGGCCACUGCCACAGGUCAAGCAGUAUCAGUGCUUCGGCUUCGAUGCUCUGGAGCCUGGUGUUUUCGCAAAGGAGCGUUCGGACUCAGUCGGGACCAGGUUUCAGCUGUUGCGCAAUGCUGACAUCCUUCCUCCCAUAGAUGGUCUGCCUGUACAAGCACCACCUGGACUGGACACAGCUCGACAAACGUAUGUUUUUGAGAAGAUCAGGGAGUUUUGUGAUGAAAAGGCUAUCAAAUCAAAUCAAAUUUAUUUAUGUAGCCCUUCGUACAUCAGCUGAUAUCUCAAAGUGCUGUACAGAAACCCAGCCAAAAACCCCAAACAGCAAGCAAUGCAGGUGUAGAAGCACGGUGGCUAGGAAAAACUCCCUAGAAAGGCCAAAACCUAGGAAGAAACCUAGAGAGGAACCAGGCUAUGUGGGGUGGCCAGUCCUCUUCUGGCUGUGCCGGGUGGAGAUUAUAACAGAACAUGGUCAAGAUGGACAGUACAUCUAUUUUGAUAUUGCUACUAUGCAAGUAACCAUUUGGCUGUACCGUUUAUACCCUCUUUAGAGACCCAUCCACUUGGCAAUAUGUGGCUGGGGAUUAUAUCAUUUCUUUCACAUGACCCAUCAAUUUAGACAAGUGUGUCUGGGUAAGCAUCAUCUAAUUUAUUGUUUACCUGGAAUUUUUUAAUGAAUCUUUACUACACUACUCACUUUUUAGCACAUGACCUCACAUGUGAAUCCUUAAGAGAUGGGUGGGGCUGGCUUAAGCGGGUGUGAACAAUGCUGAAUGGGU